RNAcentral lists this ribosomal RNA (253 nucleotides) under uncultured bacterium. Its description in RNAcentral is "partial 16S ribosomal RNA". It matches the Rfam family "Bacterial small subunit ribosomal RNA", at positions 524 to 776 of the family's 1533-position model. The record is from RNAcentral.
UACGGGGGGAGCAAGCGUUGUUCGGAUUUACUGGGCGUAAAGGGCGCGUAGGCGGCGCAACAAGUCACUUGUGAAAUCUCCGGGCUUAACUCGGAGCGGCCAAGUGAUACUGUCGUGCUAGAGUGCGGAAGGGGCAACUGGAAUUCUCGGUGUAGCGGUGAAAUGCGUAGAUAUCGAGAGGAACACCGGCGGCGAAGGCGGGUUGCUGGGCCGUAACUGACGCUGAGGAGCGAAAGCAUGGGGAGCGAACAGG